This 253-nucleotide ribosomal RNA is filed under the name uncultured bacterium. RNAcentral's name for it is "partial 16S ribosomal RNA". It matches the Rfam family "Bacterial small subunit ribosomal RNA", at positions 524 to 776 of the family's 1533-position model. The record is from RNAcentral.
UACAGAGGUCUCAAGCGUUGUUCGGAUUCAUUGGGCGUAAAGGGUGCGUAGGCGGCGCGGUAAGUCGGGUGUGAAAUCUCGGAGCUUAACUCCGAAACUGCAUUCGAUACUGCCGUGCUUGAGGACUGGAGAGGAGACUGGAAUUUACGGUGUAGCGGUGAAAUGCGUAGAUAUCGUAAGGAAGACCAGUGGCGAAGGCGGGUCUCUGGACAGUUCCUGACGCUGAGGCACGAAGCCCAGGGGAGCAAACGGG